This is a long non-coding RNA of Ipomoea nil (Japanese morning glory), 345 nucleotides long. RefSeq lists it as uncharacterized. The transcript has 3 exons. The record is from RefSeq and is a predicted model, not a curated record. Lineage: Eukaryota; Viridiplantae; Streptophyta; Magnoliopsida; Solanales; Convolvulaceae.
GUGAGCUUGAUUUUGAUAAGAUACCUGUGAUUGCACCAAACACAACAUGUGACCAGUUAUGCCAAAAACAUCAAAAUACUGAAAAUAGCAAUACACAAUAUUAAUUGCAGGUUUACAGCAUGUAAGAUCAAGGAACUUACACACACACACACACCAACUUUUGAGUACUAUAUGAGAUACACUUCAACAGAAGAGGGUGCUACAUUACAUAUUGAAUCCCUGCAUUAUAUCCCUCACAUUAUUUCUCACAAUAAACUUAUUAGGAUGCCACCCGGUGCUGGACUUGGCUUUUCACCAACCCCUACCCAACAAAACUGAAGCAAGAAGUUGGGUUAAGAUAUAUAU